GCCUGGCGGGCUCAGUCGGUAAAGCAAGUGACUCCUGAUCUUGGGGUUGUGAGUUAGAGUCCCACGCUGGGUU
This 73-nucleotide transfer RNA is filed under the name Ailuropoda melanoleuca (giant panda). It matches the Rfam family "tRNA". From Rfam's summary of the family: Transfer RNA (tRNA) molecules are approximately 80 nucleotides in length. Their secondary structure includes four short double-helical elements and three loops (D, anti-codon, and T loops). Further hydrogen bonds mediate the characteristic L-shaped molecular structure. tRNAs have two regions of fundamental functional importance: the anti-codon, which is responsible for specific mRNA codon recognition, and the 3' end, to which the tRNAs corresponding amino acid is attached (by aminoacyl-tRNA synthetases). tRNAs cope with the degeneracy of the genetic code in two manners: having more than one tRNA (with a specific anti-codon) for a particular amino acid; and 'wobble' base-pairing, i.e. permitting non-standard base-pairing at the 3rd anti-codon position. Lineage: Eukaryota; Metazoa; Chordata; Mammalia; Carnivora; Ursidae. The record is from Rfam by way of RNAcentral.